CGUCCCUUCGCGCCCGCCCAACGGAGACGAACCUGGAGACGUGCCCUGUGGGCUGACCCUGAUUCUCCCACCUUUAAUACACGCGCAAGGCAUCAAUGAGAACUAGGCUUCGACCACACCCUGCAGGGAGCAGGAGCCUUUAACACGGUCAACACGCAAGAUCUCACCCACCCAGAAACUCACUUCUUGAGAUCUCUAACCAUAUGAGGAGACAAAAACAAGAUAAAGCAAACAACGGAAC
RNAcentral lists this long non-coding RNA (241 nucleotides) under Ursus maritimus (polar bear). Its description in RNAcentral is "lncRNA (ENSUMAG00000007346.1)". The record is from RNAcentral. Lineage: Eukaryota; Metazoa; Chordata; Mammalia; Carnivora; Ursidae.